UUUCAACAACUUUGACUCAUCAAAUCACCUCGCAUUGCUCAGGUAAGUCCAUAUAUAUAUUGAUUGUAGAUAUAAUUUGUGAGAAGAAAUUGCAAAAAUAAUUGUGCGGAUCUUGAAAUUAAGUUUUGCAUUAAUAUGGCAGGGUAUAUAUAUAUCGAUGGGUAAGAUGAUGAGGAUGGUUUUAUUGGUAAUGAUGGUGGUAGCUAUGAUGAGCACUUGCACGGUGGAAGGCAGGAGAAUUUCGGCGGCGGUGGAGGUGGCGGUGGCGGAGCAGGAGGAUGAUGGAGUGGAUAGUGGUUUGGAGGAUAACCACCAUGCUUACUCCAUACCUGACUUCAACAGGCAAGGUGGAAAACCUCCCACCAAAAACUGAUUAAUUGCUCUCUCUUUCUCUCCAAUUAUAUAUAUAUAUAUAUAUGUGUGUGUGUGUGUGUUACUGUGUGUGUAUAGAGACUAGUAGUUUGUGUAUGUGUGGAAAUUAAUAAGCUGCUCCGGAGAUCCGUCUUCUCUUGUAUAAAUAGCAUGUUCGGCGUGAUGACGAGCCAUAUAUAUGUAUAGCUACGUUCCAACACCAGCUCUCUCUCUCUCUCUCACACACACACAUACAUAUAUACGGACAAUAAAGGAUAAAAUAGGAAAAACUUUGCUUCUUAUCGAACAGCUGAUCUGCUGAUAUUAAACAAGCAUUUGCACUUGAAAUUAAAUAAAGCAUAUGGAAAUAUAUACGAGGACUUGAAAGCUUAAAGAGAAAUCUAAUGAAAUAUUUAUAUCAUUACUUUGGUUUUCUAAAAAAUAUGAAUAAAUUUAAGUCACGGUUUCAAUUAUCCUGAUAGCGUUGAUUUACUCUUAUCCGUCUGCAUCUUCAUUUAAAAGGAGUUUACUUUGAAUUAGAGAUAUUAAGUGGGCCAGACCGACCCAAACCCAUCAUGGGCCGACUUCGGCCUGAGCUGAUAGAAAAGGGUGAUUCUAUUCAUAGCCUCAUUUUUACUCUUUAUAGCCUCUUAAUUAAAAUAUAUUAAAAAUAAUAAUUUAUAUACUAGUUUACCCUCGUAGUCAUACCUCCCAAAUUCAAUUCUUCAUCUCACGAAUUUCGUAGCCCCCAAAUUCCAAGAUACAUGAAGUCUGCAAAAUUGAUAAAUGUAAAACACAUUAUAAAACUUAUUGUGCAUUAAAUGCACAGAGGAAGUGAGAUGAAGACUCAUUGCUGGGUUUGAGCAACUAAUUCUAAUUUUACAGAGCACUCCCCCAACAUCGAAGGCAAAUACACAUACAGAUACAGAUGAAUAUUGCUUUCACAAAAAUAAAAUGUUUAUUAAUCAAAUAAAAAUUGAAUCUUGUUUAUUUUCUCAGUAUAUUAUUGAAAUUGUAGUAGACAUACAUCUGUGAACAUCGAGAAGUGCUCCUAAAAUUCACAGAGUGAGAGAGAUGCCGCUCCUGACUUUCCGCCAUUGAUGGAUGAAGAAAUGAACUCCCACAAAUUAUGCUAAAUUCACAAUUGCAAUUAUUCAAUAUGAAAUCAACCCAUAUCAACACAAUUUCAAGGGGCUCGAUUAUCUUCUUAUCGCUUUUUAUUCCGACGACUUUCCACUUCUUCUUCUUCUUCUUCUCCUCUUUUUCUUUUUCCAGAUACGAGGUUCCUUUUGGGAAUAUUGGUGGCUCUAGGGUUCUAAGGAUUUUUUAGGAAUUUAAUGGUAGAUUAAGGAUAAAAUAGUAUAUUCCUUAACUUUUGUAUUUUAUUUUUUUUAAAAGGCUAUAAAGAGUAAAAAUGGGGCUAUGAAUAGAAUUACCCGAUAGAAAAAUGAGGCAGAAUUGGGUUGGCCCAAUCAUUUAAGACGGGCACCAAUUGAGCCAUUUAUCAACCUCCAGCCUUGCCGUGGCCUGAAGGCCCAAUGAAAUACCAUUAAAAAUAUACUUUAACAAUAUAGUAUAUUGUAAUAUUUAUUAAAUAUAAAUUCAUAUAGUAAUUAUCUUUUUCUAAUAAAUUUAUCUUUCGAUAAUCUAAAUUUAAAUUUAUUGAGUCUUGUCAAUUAACCUUAUAGAUUAUUAUUCAGACUUAAUUGUCUUUCAUUCAUUGAAUUUAAGAUAAGACUAGAAACGAGAAGUCAAGAAUGCAUCUUUUUAAAAGUUACGAAGACAAUCAAAAUAAAAAUUGUGCAGAAGAUAGAAACUAAAUAGAAAGUGUGUAGAAAAUAUAAAAAAUAAAAUAAUUCAAUAACUAGAAAGUAAAACUCCGAAGUAAAAGAAAAAAAAAUCAUAUAAAAUUUUACUUAUAUAAGCCUCAAAUAAAUUCAAAACCUAAUGUAAAUUGUGCACAAAAAUCAAAAUAAGUAGUCCAACCAACUGACCAAGCCCUAACCAGUAACCACUUACCAAAUGGGCCAUGGAUAAGCUUAGUCUCACGCCAUAAUGGAAUUGGCCGGGCCUUGGUCAAACCAGCUCUCAUUCCUUGCAAGUCAGGGCAUGGACCGAGGCGGUCCGAUUCAAUUGACAACUCUCCUUUGAACGAUAGGAUAAAUUGAUAAAAUAUAGUAUUAUUGAAUAUUUGAAGGAUAAAAUAUUAAAAUAGUGCAAAUUCAUUUAUCUAUCAAAGGAAAUGGAGAUUAAUUUUGAAUUACUUUUAUCUAUCUAAUAUUUCAAUUCAAAUAAUCAUAUCUAACCAUUUUUUUGCUGAUUUCAUACCCACCGAGUAUAGUUGUUUUUUCUUCUUUUAGGCAUACCAAGUACGAUUGUUAGGCCCCAACUCCCACGUAUGGCCUGGCCCAACUAAUAGACAACAUUUCACAUUUUGUAGAAGUAUUGUUUUGGUCAUGUUAAUUCAUAUAGUCCGUCUCACAAAAACAUGAACAGUUGUAAUUGACACGAAUUUUAAGAAAUACUCCCUCCGUCCCACUUCAAUAGGUUCGUUUUCUUUUUUGGGAUGUUCCACUCCAAUAAACUCAUUUUUCAUUUUAAGUAAAAAAAAAAUGUACUUAAUUGGUGUGGACCACACCACUUUUCUACUAAAAAGUAAGUUUUCUUAAUUUGUGUGUCCAAAAGAAGUGAGCCUAUUGGAGUGAGACGGAAAGAGUAUUAGAUAAAACUGUAUUGUGAAUGAAAAAGGAAUCCCACUUUAUAAAAAGUAGAGAUGAAAAGUAAAUGAAUUGUGGUGGAAUAUCAAAAUAGAAAUGCUCAUGUUUUUUGUGUAACGCUCCAAACUAGCUAAAUGUUCAAGUUUUUGUUUUCAAAUUUUUGUUUGAUCAUGCAUGACUAUAUUUUUAUGAAGCAGCACUUUAAAGUAGUCAAUGACACAUCAUAAGAAAUUAUAGCCAUAUAAAUGUAAAUAUAAAUAUAAUUAUUAUUUUUAUCUUAAUAUUUUUAGGUGAAAAAAUCGAUAAAUGACACAAAAAAAUGUAUAAAUUCACGUAAUAAUUUAUAUUGUUACACAAAUUUUGAUUAGCCUAAAAAAUCCGCAUAAAGUAUGUAAGCAUGUAAGGACAUAAUAUUUUAAAAUGACCAUUAUUUUUAUAUGUUUAUGUACAUGAGAAUUUCCUUUUCCUAUAUGGGACAAAUUAAAUUACAUAUAAUUUUAUUUUUUAAUCCUACGUUGUUAUAGUAGAAUUAGAAUGAAUUUAAAAUAGAGGUAUUCACCAUAUUCUUGAUUAAAUUUUUCCAACUUUUGAACUUAUAUGACUAAUGUUUAAACCUGAAACUGCAGCGAGAACAAAAUCUGUGUGUUGAAAUUUUUUAAAAGUUCAAUCUUCAAUAAAAGAAUUCGAGAGGGACGACACGACAACAAUAACAACAACAACAAACAAAAAACAUGACGAUAAUACAAAAAGGAUGGCAGAAAUCCCGCAAUAUAUUAGCCGAGAGAAAGAGAAACUGUUUUCCAAUACAAAACACUGCCACUACGUUGAAAUGUCCCUUUAUCUUACAUUUCUGGAGAAUUAUGAGAGGUAUUUUGCUUUUGCAACUUUCCAUUUUCCUAAACCUUCCUUCCCAAUCUCACCACCUUCUUUAAAUUUUUUCCUUUCAAACAGUAAUUUAUUUCUACCUUAAUUUCUCCAAAGUCUACAUAAAAAUCAUCAGCCAACAAAGUCCCGAAUGAUCUGACCUCCGUAAUGCCUCAUAUGCCUCUCCUGCUGCAUUGCAGGCCGCUGACCGCCCUCGGGGCUUUGCCGGAGACCCAAAGUCAGAG
This 4177-nucleotide long non-coding RNA is filed under the name Salvia miltiorrhiza (redroot sage). RNAcentral describes it as "long non-coding RNA (SMIL_LNC004662)". Lineage: Eukaryota; Viridiplantae; Streptophyta; Magnoliopsida; Lamiales; Lamiaceae. The record is from RNAcentral.